CCUGCGCCCCGGUGUCCUGAGCGCCGCGGCCGCCCGCGCCUGUGGGAGAGUCUUUCUCUACCAUUCCUACAGUGGUUGCGAGGUACCGUUUCUUCCUCACUCUGCAUGUACCAUGCCAGUGACAUCUUAGCUGCUAGAGUGUGGAGCUGGCCUGUGGGAGUCAAGUAUUGAUGGUGUGACCUGUUCACGCAGGGGAAACUUGAACAUUUACAGGUCACUAGCCCAUUUGGGGAGCCUCUUAGGAGAAAGUGCGUCAUACACUGAAUGACUGUUGGCCUUGAACUUACUGUGUAACCCAGGCUGGCCUCCAA
Chinchilla lanigera (long-tailed chinchilla) is the source of this 311-nucleotide long non-coding RNA. RefSeq lists it as uncharacterized. The transcript has 5 exons. Lineage: Eukaryota; Metazoa; Chordata; Mammalia; Rodentia; Chinchillidae. The record is from RefSeq and is a predicted model, not a curated record.